GGUUAAGCGACUAAGCGUACACGGUGGAUGCCCUGGCAGUCAGAGGCGAUGAAGGACGUGCUAAUCUGCGAUAAGCGUCGGUAAGGUGAUAUGAACCGUUAUAACCGGCGAUUUCCGAAUGGGGAAACCCAGUGUGUUUCGACACACUAUCAUUAACUGAAUCCAUAGGUUAAUGAGGCGAACCGGGGGAACUGAAACAUCUAAGUACCCCGAGGAAAAGAAAUCAACCGAGAUUCCCCCAGUAGCGGCGAGCGAACGGGGAGGAGCCCAGAGCCUGAAUCAGUGUGUGUGUUAGUGGAAGCGUCUGGAAAGGCGCGCGAUACAGGGUGACAGCCCCGUACACAAAAAUGCACAUACUGUGAGCUCGAUGAGUAGGGCGGGACACGUGGUAUCCUGUCUGAAUAUGGGGGGACCAUCCUCCAAGGCUAAAUACUCCUGACUGACCGAUAGUGAACCAGUACCGUGAGGGAAAGGCGAAAAGAACCCCGGCGAGGGGAGUGAAAAAGAACCUGAAACCGUGUACGUACAAGCAGUGGGAGCCUCUUUUAUGGGGUGACUGCGUACCUUUUGUAUAAUGGGUCAGCGACUUAUAUUCUGUAGCAAGGUUAACCGAAUAGGGGAGCCGAAGGGAAACCGAGUCUUAACUGGGCGUUAAGUUGCAGGGUAUAGACCCGAAACCCGGUGAUCUAGCCAUGGGCAGGUUGAAGGUUGGGUAACACUAACUGGAGGACCGAACCGACUAAUGUUGAAAAAUUAGCGGAUGACUUGUGGCUGGGGGUGAAAGGCCAAUCAAACCGGGAGAUAGCUGGUUCUCCCCGAAAGCUAUUUAGGUAGCGCCUCGUGAAUUCAUCUCCGGGGGUAGAGCACUGUUUCGGCAAGGGGGUCAUCCCGACUUACCAACCCGAUGCAAACUGCGAAUACCGGAGAAUGUUAUCACGGGAGACACACGGCGGGUGCUAACGUCCGUCGUGAAGAGGGAAACAACCCAGACCGCCAGCUAAGGUCCCAAAGUCAUGGUUAAGUGGGAAACGAUGUGGGAAGGCCCAGACAGCCAGGAUGUUGGCUUAGAAGCAGCCAUCAUUUAAAGAAAGCGUAAUAGCUCACUGGUCGAGUCGGCCUGCGCGGAAGAUGUAACGGGGCUAAACCAUGCACCGAAGCUGCGGCAGCGACACUAUGUGUUGUUGGGUAGGGGAGCGUUCUGUAAGCCUGUGAAGGUGUACUGUGAGGUAUGCUGGAGGUAUCAGAAGUGCGAAUGCUGACAUAAGUAACGAUAAAGCGGGUGAAAAGCCCGCUCGCCGGAAGACCAAGGGUUCCUGUCCAACGUUAAUCGGGGCAGGGUGAGUCGACCCCUAAGGCGAGGCCGAAAGGCGUAGUCGAUGGGAAACAGGUUAAUAUUCCUGUACUUGGUGUUACUGCGAAGGGGGGACGGAGAAGGCUAUGUUGGCCGGGCGACGGUUGUCCCGGUUUAAGCGUGUAGGCUGGUUUUCCAGGCAAAUCCGGAAAAUCAAGGCUGAGGCGUGAUGACGAGGCACUACGGUGCUGAAGCAACAAAUGCCCUGCUUCCAGGAAAAGCCUCUAAGCAUCAGGUAACAUCAAAUCGUACCCCAAACCGACACAGGUGGUCAGGUAGAGAAUACCAAGGCGCUUGAGAGAACUCGGGUGAAGGAACUAGGCAAAAUGGUGCCGUAACUUCGGGAGAAGGCACGCUGAUAUGUAGGUGAAGUCCCUCGCGGAUGGAGCUGAAAUCAGUCGAAGAUACCAGCUGGCUGCAACUGUUUAUUAAAAACACAGCACUGUGCAAACACGAAAGUGGACGUAUACGGUGUGACGCCUGCCCGGUGCCGGAAGGUUAAUUGAUGGGGUCAGCGCAAGCGAAGCUCUUGAUCGAAGCCCCGGUAAACGGCGGCCGUAACUAUAACGGUCCUAAGGUAGCGAAAUUCCUUGUCGGGUAAGUUCCGACCUGCACGAAUGGCGUAAUGAUGGCCAGGCUGUCUCCACCCGAGACUCAGUGAAAUUGAACUCGCUGUGAAGAUGCAGUGUACCCGCGGCAAGACGGAAAGACCCCGUGAACCUUUACUAUAGCUUGACACUGAACAUUGAGCCUUGAUGUGUAGGAUAGGUGGGAGGCUUAGAAGUGUGGACGCCAGUCUGCAUGGAGCCGACCUUGAAAUACCACCCUUUAAUGUUUGAUGUUCUAACGUUGACCCGUAAUCCGGGUUGCGGACAGUGUCUGGUGGGUAGUUUGACUGGGGCGGUCUCCUCCUAAAGAGUAACGGAGGAGCACGAAGGUUGGCUAAUCCUGGUCGGACAUCAGGAGGUUAGUGCAAUGGCAUAAGCCAGCUUGACUGCGAGCGUGACGGCGCGAGCAGGUGCGAAAGCAGGUCAUAGUGAUCCGGUGGUUCUGAAUGGAAGGGCCAUCGCUCAACGGAUAAAAGGUACUCCGGGGAUAACAGGCUGAUACCGCCCAAGAGUUCAUAUCGACGGCGGUGUUUGGCACCUCGAUGUCGGCUCAUCACAUCCUGGGGCUGAAGUAGGUCCCAAGGGUAUGGCUGUUCGCCAUUUAAAGUGGUACGCGAGCUGGGUUUAGAACGUCGUGAGACAGUUCGGUCCCUAUCUGCCGUGGGCGCUGGAGAACUGAGGGGGGCUGCUCCUAGUACGAGAGGACCGGAGUGGACGCAUCACUGGUGUUCGGGUUGUCAUGCCAAUGGCACUGCCCGGUAGCUAAAUGCGGAAGAGAUAAGUGCUGAAAGCAUCUAAGCACGAAACUUGCCCCGAGAUGAGUUCUCCCUGAGACUAUAAGUCUCCUGAAGGAACGUUGAAGACGACGACGUUGAUAGGCCGGGUGUGUAAGCGCAGCGAUGCGUUGAGCUAACCGGUACUAAUGAACCGUGAGGCUUAACCUU
This 2903-nucleotide ribosomal RNA is filed under the name Escherichia coli. Its description in RNAcentral is "23S ribosomal RNA". It matches the Rfam family "Bacterial large subunit ribosomal RNA". Lineage: Bacteria; Pseudomonadati; Pseudomonadota; Gammaproteobacteria; Enterobacterales; Enterobacteriaceae. The record is from RNAcentral.